CUUGUUAAGGUCGUCCUAACUGCCAUUGCUAUCUAUCAUCUCACGCCUCUUGACAUCUCGGUGGAGGUCCUCAAGAAAAUCGAUAGUAUUCGCCGUGCAUAUCUUUGGGCGGGCUCAGACAAGGUGUCUGGAGGAAAAUGCAAGGUUAACUGGGAGCUCGUUUGUAAGCCCAAGGACAAGGGUGAGCUCGGAGUGCUUAACCUGGAUAAGUUCGCCAAGGCUCUACGGCUCCGAUGGCUAUGGUUUGAGUGGACUGACAAGAGCAAGCCCUGGAUUGGCAUGGGGACGCCGUGCAUGGAGGAUGAUCACCACUUCUUUGCAGCUGCCACUAUGGUCCUUGUUGGCAACGGACGAACGAUGCAAUUCUGGAACUCGUCGUGGCUCAAUGGCUUGCAGCCCCGUGACAUCGCGCUGGACCUCUUUGCCCUUUCUCGCAAGAAGAACUCAUCGGUCCAGCAAGCCAUGACCAACAACCUGUGGAUCACUAAUAUUGAUGGCACCAACAGUCUGUCGCUCGCGCAUAUCGAGUAG
RNAcentral lists this ribosomal RNA (531 nucleotides) under Triticum aestivum (bread wheat). RNAcentral's name for it is "partial small subunit ribosomal RNA". Lineage: Eukaryota; Viridiplantae; Streptophyta; Magnoliopsida; Poales; Poaceae. The record is from RNAcentral.